GAUGAAUGGAAACCACACACGCACUCCCUAUUUGUGUACCGACGUUAGGUCAACACACGCAAGUGUGUGGCCUACUAACCUACACACCAUUGACCAACCAAUAAUCAAACCAAACUCUGAAGCUUUGGCUGCUGUUAAUCGGCAGUUUUAACAAAGAACAACUCUCAACAACGGAUAUCUUGGCUCUCGCAACGAUGAAGAACGCAGCGAAAUGCGAUACGUAGUGUGAAUUGCAGAAUUCCGUGAACCAUCGAAUCUUUGAACGCAUAUUGCGCUCGACCCCCCGGGGAAGAGCAUGUCUGCCUCAGCGUCGGUUUACACCCUCACCCCACUUACUUCACAGUAAGCGCUUGCUGCGUUGUAUGACCAGCAACUGGGAUGGAUCUGGCCCUCCCAAUUGAAGCAAUUCGAUUGGGUUGGCUGAAGCACAGAGGCUUAAACUGGGACCCGUACCGGGCUCAACUGGAUAGGUAGCAACACCUUCGGGUGCCUACACGAAGUUGUGUCUGAGGACCUGGUUAGGAGCCAAGCAGGAAACAUGGAAACAUGUACUCUGUAUUCGACCUGAGCUCAGGCAAGGCUACCCGCUGAACUUAAGCAUAUAAA
RNAcentral lists this ribosomal RNA (606 nucleotides) under Desmodesmus sp. XJH-2-2. Its description in RNAcentral is "eukaryotic LSU rRNA". The stretch from base 160 to 313 matches the Rfam family "5.8S ribosomal RNA". The record is from RNAcentral. Lineage: Eukaryota; Viridiplantae; Chlorophyta; Chlorophyceae; Sphaeropleales; Scenedesmaceae.